GAACCCGAUCCUCUGCUGGGGCAUGGAUUAUUGUGUUCAGCACAAUUGGCGCAGCGCAGAAAUGUGUGACCUUGUGCUUCGCUAUGGCGCUAAAGAUUGCCUUUGCUGUUACCUGCAAAAACCCCCAAAUUGAUGCCACCUGAGGGGAUCAGAAAUUGCUUAAAGCACGGUAUUGGAAAAUCAUUCUUCGGCCAACACCACUUCCUGUAAUAGAUCGAUCGGAGAUAGAGGAAUCGUGCGGAAAAAAGAGUUAAAAAUGUGAAUGGUGUUUGAGAUAUGAUUCUGAAUCUAAACUGUUGUAUGCAAAUGAUGUUAGAGAUCUGAUUCUGAAUUUAAACGAUUUUAUGUGAA
Molecule: long non-coding RNA, 351 nt
Organism: Cryptomeria japonica (Japanese cedar)
Lineage: Eukaryota; Viridiplantae; Streptophyta; Pinopsida; Cupressales; Cupressaceae
Exons: 2
Source: RefSeq, a predicted model, not a curated record